ACACAUGCAAGUCGAGCGGAAAGGCCCUUUCGGGGGUACUCGAGCGGCGAACGGGUGAGUAACACGUGAGUAAUCUGCCCUGCGCUCUGGGAUAGCCACCGGAAACGGUGAUUAAUACCGGAUAGGACCACUUCACGCAUGUGAUGGUGGUGGAAAGUUUUUUCGGCGCAGGAUGUGCUCGCGGCCUAUCAGCUUGUUGGUGAGGUAACGGCUCACCAAGGCUUUGACGGGUAACCGGCCUGAGAGGGUGACCGGUCACACUGGGACUGAGACACGGCCCAGACUCCUACGGGAGGCAGCAGUGGGGAAUAUUGGACAAUGGGCGGAAGCCUGAUCCAGCAACGCCGCGUGAGGGAUGACGGCCUUCGGGUUGUAAACCUCUUUCAGUACCGACGAAGCGAAAGUGACGGUAGGUACAGAAGAAGGACCGGCCAACUACGUGCCAGCAGCCGCGGUAAUACGUAGGGUCCGAGCGUUGUCCGGAAUUAUUGGGCGUAAAGGGCUCGUAGGCGGUUUGUCGCGUCGGGAGUGAAAACACCGGGCUUAACUCGGUGCUUGCUUUCAAUACGGGCAGACUAGAGGUAUGCAGGGGAGAAUGGAAUUCCUGGUGUAGCGGUGAAAUGCGCAGAUAUCAGGAGGACACCGGUGGCGAAGCGGUUCUCUGGGCAUUACCUG
RNAcentral lists this ribosomal RNA (675 nucleotides) under uncultured Actinomycetes bacterium. RNAcentral's name for it is "bacterial SSU rRNA". It matches the Rfam family "Bacterial small subunit ribosomal RNA", at positions 51 to 742 of the family's 1533-position model. Lineage: Bacteria; Bacillati; Actinomycetota; Actinomycetes. The record is from RNAcentral.